UACCGUGUGUUACCAUCAUUAAGUUGGGGACUCGCACGGAACUGCCGGUGAUAACCGGAGGAAGGUGGGGAUGACGUCAAAUCCUCAUGGCCUUUAUGACCUGGGCUACACACGUGCUACAAUGGAUGGUACAGAGAGCAGCGAGGCAGCGAUGUGGAGCGAAUCUCAAAAAGCCAUUCUCAGUUCGGAUUGGAGUCUGCAACUCGACUCCAUGAAGUCGGAAUCGCUAGUAAUCGCGAAUCAGCAUGUCGCCGGUGAACUGCGUUCCGGGCCUU
This 275-nucleotide ribosomal RNA is filed under the name uncultured Syntrophomonas sp. RNAcentral describes it as "partial 16S ribosomal RNA". It matches the Rfam family "Bacterial small subunit ribosomal RNA", at positions 1106 to 1382 of the family's 1533-position model. Lineage: Bacteria; Bacillati; Bacillota; Clostridia; Eubacteriales; Syntrophomonadaceae. The record is from RNAcentral.